RNAcentral lists this ribosomal RNA (170 nucleotides) under uncultured bacterium. RNAcentral's name for it is "partial 16S ribosomal RNA". It matches the Rfam family "Bacterial small subunit ribosomal RNA", at positions 336 to 526 of the family's 1533-position model. The record is from RNAcentral.
CUCCUACGGAGGCAGCAGUGGGGAAUUUUGCGCAAUGGGGGAAACCCUGACGCAGCAACGCCGCGUGGAGGAUGAAGCCCUUGGGUGUAAACUCCUUUCGAUCGGGAAGAUAAUGACGGUACCGAUAUAAGAAGCCCCGGCUAACUUCGUGCCAGCAGCCGCGGUAAUAC